GACGAACGCUGGCGGCGUGCUUAACACAUGCAAGUCGAACGGUGAAGCCCUUCGUUUUUGAUCAGUUCCGAACGGGUGCGUAACACGUGAGCAACCUGCCCCUGCCUCUGGCUCUACCACUGGAUCCGGUAACUGAUACCAAAACCGGCUCGGCUCUGCUGCUGGUUUGUGUGGAAUGUUUUGCGGCUGGGGAUGGGCUCGCGGCCUAUCAGCUUGUUGGUGAGGGGAAGGCUCACCAAGGCCACGACGGGUAGCCGGCCUGAGAGGGCGACCGGCCACACUGGGACUGAGACACGGCCCAGACUCCUACGGGAGGCAGCAGUGGGGAAUAUUGCACAAUGGGCGAAAGCCUGAUGCAGCAACGCCGCGUGAGGGAUGACGGCCUUCGGGUUGUAAACCGCUUUCAGCUCCGAAGAAGCGAAAGUGACGGUAGGAGCAGAAGAAGCACCGGCUAACUACGUG
RNAcentral lists this ribosomal RNA (462 nucleotides) under uncultured bacterium. RNAcentral describes it as "partial 16S ribosomal RNA". It matches the Rfam family "Bacterial small subunit ribosomal RNA", at positions 28 to 507 of the family's 1533-position model. The record is from RNAcentral.